UCACUUCGCAGCUUUCAUCGCUC
RNAcentral lists this non-coding RNA (23 nucleotides) under Arabidopsis thaliana (thale cress). Lineage: Eukaryota; Viridiplantae; Streptophyta; Magnoliopsida; Brassicales; Brassicaceae. The record is from RNAcentral.